UACAGAGGUCUCAACCGUUGUUCGGAUUCAUUGGGCGUAAAGGGUGCGUAGGCGGUCGCGCAAGUCGGAUGUGAAAUCUCAGGGCUCAACCCUGAAACUGCAUUCGAUACUGCGUGGCUAGAGUGCUGGAGAGGAGACUGGAAUUUACGGUGUAGCAGUGAAAUGCGUAGAUAUCGAAAGGAAGACCAGUGGCGAAGGCGAGUCUCUGGACAGCAACUGACGCUGAGGCACGAAGGCCAGGGGAGCAAACGGG
This 253-nucleotide ribosomal RNA is filed under the name uncultured bacterium. Its description in RNAcentral is "partial 16S ribosomal RNA". It matches the Rfam family "Bacterial small subunit ribosomal RNA", at positions 524 to 776 of the family's 1533-position model. The record is from RNAcentral.